Molecule: transfer RNA, 87 nt
Filed under: Gammaproteobacteria bacterium
Lineage: Bacteria; Pseudomonadati; Pseudomonadota; Gammaproteobacteria
Also listed under: 3 other names
Description: tRNA-Ser
Rfam family: tRNA
About the family: Transfer RNA (tRNA) molecules are approximately 80 nucleotides in length. Their secondary structure includes four short double-helical elements and three loops (D, anti-codon, and T loops). Further hydrogen bonds mediate the characteristic L-shaped molecular structure. tRNAs have two regions of fundamental functional importance: the anti-codon, which is responsible for specific mRNA codon recognition, and the 3' end, to which the tRNAs corresponding amino acid is attached (by aminoacyl-tRNA synthetases). tRNAs cope with the degeneracy of the genetic code in two manners: having more than one tRNA (with a specific anti-codon) for a particular amino acid; and 'wobble' base-pairing, i.e. permitting non-standard base-pairing at the 3rd anti-codon position.
Source: RNAcentral
GGAGAGGUGGCCGAGUGGUCGAAGGCGAUUGAUUCGAAAUCAAUUGUGCCCGUGAGGGUACCGGGGGUUCGAAUCCCUCCCUCUCUG